CCCUUAGAUGUUCUGGGCCGCACGCGCGCUACACUGAUGCAUUCAACGAGUUUCUUCCUGGUCCGAGAGGAAUGGGUAACCUUUUGAAAGUGCAUCGUGAUAGGGAUAGACUAUUGCAAUUAUAGGUCUUCAACGAGGAAUUCCUAGUAGACGUAGUUCAUCAGACUGCAUCGAUUACGUCCCUGCCCUUUGUACACACCGCCCGUCGCUCCUACCGAUUGAAUGCUCAGGUGAGCCAUUCGGACUUUCAUCAUGCUGGUUUCCAGUUUUGAUGAAGGAAAGUCUUGCGAACCUUAUCAUUUAGAGGAAGGAGAAGUCGUAACA
This 324-nucleotide ribosomal RNA is filed under the name uncultured eukaryote. Its description in RNAcentral is "partial 18S ribosomal RNA". It matches the Rfam family "Eukaryotic small subunit ribosomal RNA", at positions 1470 to 1796 of the family's 1831-position model. The record is from RNAcentral.